ACAUGGCCGACGUGGAUCAAACUGUAGUAUCUGUUCUUCUCAGCCUAAUAUCUGAUAGGGGUUGUAUUCGGACCUAAAAUAUUAAACUUAUUUUUUGCAAAUUGCCGGAAUACUUCAAGUCUGCUUCACCUCCGUCACAUGUGGGCCUGGUAUUGCACUGUCUUCGGGAUAUGCACACGUAUG
Dermacentor andersoni is the source of this 183-nucleotide non-coding RNA. NCBI's taxonomy places the organism in Eukaryota, Metazoa, Arthropoda, Arachnida, Ixodida, Ixodidae. The record is from RefSeq and is a predicted model, not a curated record.